CCUACGGGAGGCAGCAGUGAGGAAUAUUGGUCAAUGGACGAGAGUCUGAACCAGCCAAGUAGCGUGAAGGAUGACUGCCCUAUGGGUUGUAAACUUCUUUUAUAUGGGAAUAAAAUGUUCCACGUGUGGGAUUUUGUAUGUACCAUAUGAAUAAGGAUCGGCUAACUCCGUGCCAGCAGCCGCGGUAAUACGGAGGAUCCGAGCGUUAUCCGGCUUUAUUGGGUUUAACGGGAGCGUAGGUGGAUUGUUAAGUCAGUUGUGAAAGUUUGCGGCUCAACCGUAAAAUUGCAGUUGAAACUGGCAGUCUUGAGUACAGUAGAGGUAGGCGGAAUGCGUGGUGUAGCGGUGAAAUGCUUAGAUAUCACGAAGAACUCCGAUUGCGAAGGCAGUUCACUGGACUGCAACUGACACUGAGGCUCGAAAGUGUGGGUAUCAAACAGGAUUAGAUACCCCAGUAGUC
This 460-nucleotide ribosomal RNA is filed under the name uncultured bacterium. RNAcentral describes it as "partial 16S ribosomal RNA". It matches the Rfam family "Bacterial small subunit ribosomal RNA", at positions 338 to 795 of the family's 1533-position model. The record is from RNAcentral.